AUCCAAAUUUUGGCUCGGAUAAUCUGCUGACACCCUGCCUCCACCACAUAUGUGGUAGCCAUGCACUGGAAAUGCAAGGAAUUUAGCAGCUAUGGGAAGUUACAACCAUCACAGAGCCUAAACAGAAGUUCUCCAGAGGUAGAUCAUCUUCAGUGGUUGAUGGCUGACCCAAGAACCUCAGAACAAGCUGAUGAUCACGUGAAGUAGGAAACUUCUGCCCAAGACCAUUGGAACAAGACUCUUCUACAUGUUACACUUAAUCAUGUAUACUCUUGUUUAUUAUUAUUUUUAUUCUACUUCUUUUUUAAAAAUUUUUUAAAUGUUUAUGUAUUUUUGAGAGAGAGAGAGAGACAGUGCAUGAGUUGGGGAGGGGCAGAGAGAGAGAGAGAGAGGGAGAUGCAGAAGCCGAAGCGGGCUCCAGGCUCUGAGCUGUCAGCUCAGAGUCCAACAUGGGCUCCAACUCAUUGAGCCACACAGGCGCACCUGUUAUACUACUUUACCAGUUUAAAGUUACUGCACUUCUGACUUAGUCCACCAUAUUCCCCUUACUGAUAACAAUGACUCGCCUAAGUGUACGCUUUAGGUAAAAUGUCUUUGCGUUAACAUGGCUCUUGUUGAGCAGGAGUUGGCAACUAUUUUCUGUAAAGGGAUAGAACAGUAAGUAUUUUAAGCAUUCUGAGUUACAUACAGUUUCUGUCAUGUAUUCUUCUUUUUAAUAGUCUUUUAAAAAUGUAAAAACCAUUCUUGGCUUGUGGUCUGGAUUUGACAUGCAGGCCACACUUUGUCAACCCUUUGGGGCAAGUCAUUCAAGAGGUGUGACUAGACAACACCAUUGAUGGACUGUAUCUCUUUACAGAAACCAAAAGCGAAAGGAAAACCUCCCCCACCUCCUCCUUUUUUUUUUUGAAAGACUCCUGUUAAUAGUGACUCCAUCCUUAGAAAUCAAACAAUUUGAGUUGACCAUCAAAAACUGGUUCCCUCAUAUUGGAUGACAGUAAAUAGUACAGCCUGAGGAUAAAACAGAGCAGUUUAAAUUCCUUAACUAAAGUAGUCAUGGGUUACAAAAUAGUCAUAGAUUUUCUUUUGGUCAACCAGGGAAGAAUCAUGCCGUUGCUCCCUGAAUUAACACUACUCAUAAGAAAAAAAAAAACUGUAGCUAGGCUGAAGAAAAGACAAUCUGGAUAUUUCAUAUAGGCAAAGGUAGUUA
This 1207-nucleotide long non-coding RNA is filed under the name Felis catus (domestic cat). RNAcentral's name for it is "lncRNA (ENSFCAG00000047307.1)". Lineage: Eukaryota; Metazoa; Chordata; Mammalia; Carnivora; Felidae. The record is from RNAcentral.